This 498-nucleotide ribosomal RNA is filed under the name uncultured bacterium. RNAcentral describes it as "bacterial SSU rRNA". It matches the Rfam family "Bacterial small subunit ribosomal RNA", at positions 28 to 509 of the family's 1533-position model. The record is from RNAcentral.
GAUGAACGCUAGCGGGAGGCUUAAUACAUGCAAGUUGAGGGGCAGCAUGAUAUACGCGAGUAUAUUGAUGGCGACCGGCGGACGGGUGAGUAAUAGGUAGGAGACCUACCUCAUACAGGGGGAUAGCAUAGAGAAAUCUGUGGUAAUACCCCAUGAGGUUAUAUGAAUAGAGGCAUAUAAUCAAAGCAUAAGCGAUUAUGCGGUAUGAGAGGGGCCUACUGACCAUUAGCUAGUUGGUGAGGUAAGGGCUCACCAAGGCGAAGAUGGUUAGGGGUUUUGAGAGAGAGACCCCCCACAUUGGAACUGAGAGACGGUCCAGACUCCUACGGGAGGCAGCAGUAGGGAAUAUUGGGCAAUGGGCGAAAGCCUGACCCAGCCAUGCCGCGUGAAGGAAGACGGCCUUAUGGGUUGUAAACUUCUUUACUACGCGAAUAGAGGUUAGUACGAGAUACUAAUAGGAAGGUAGUGUAGUAAAAAGCAACCGGCUAACUCCGUGCC